ACUUGCUGCCCCAAUACUGUACAUGCAAAGCCAAUUAAAAGGUGAAUAAUUCAGCUUUUCCUCCCCUUUUUUUUUUUUCUUUUUUUUCCUGUUUUUUUUUUUUUUUGGGAAGGAAAAUGUCAGGAAUAUUUUACAAAACAACGUGCGCCCUCAGAGCCAUCGGUCCCGCAGAUAGAAACCACAAAAAUACAAGAGUUUGACAUUUAAGAAAGGACCACACACAUAGAAAACGGGACAGGACACAGGUAGAAAAUUCCAUUUGCUCGUUUUUUUUUGAAAUAUUCCCACUUUUCUGUAGCUGUACCAAACCCAUCCCCUUCUCUUGGGCUCCAAGGAUGCUCCAGUUCCUUCCCGGUGAUUUUUGGGGAGGGUGGAGUUGUGGGAUGGGAGGAAUCUGUCAUUAAACCCAGUUUAGCACAACUGGAGGGGAUGGAGUCACUGCUCCCAUCCCAGCUCCCAGAAACCCUAAAAUAUCCAAGGAAACUCUUCCCUGGCUCUCCCUUCCCCAUCAGCUGUCACCUUCUCAUUUAGUGCCAAUUAACUCGGGGUUAAUUAAGCUCUGACACUUCCCCCCCCUCUCCUGGUGAUUCCUUUCCAUGCAAAUUUUGGGGGAUUUGUGGCUGGAAAAUGUGAAGGAUUUUGGGGUUUUGGUGGGGUUUUGGACUCUCACCCCCAUCCCUCCUUUCUGCCUCAGCUUCCAAAGGUUUGGAAUUUCCAGCAGAGCUCUGGGAGCAUCUCCUUGCCUUUAAUCCCUCAUCAUCAUUCCCACCCUUUUAUUCCCUUUUCUUUCAUUUUCAAUGGACCCAAACCAGUCUGGAAUUCCACAAUUCCCUUUCUCGUUCCCCCUCAAACUUUUUUAGGGGGAAGCUGGGUUGAAAGAUUAUUUAUUAUGGAUAAAAUCCCUCCAUUUGGAAUGGAAAUGCAGAAUUUCUUGGAUGGGGUAAACAUUCCCAAACUUCACUCCUAAAAAUCCAUCGGGGCUUUUCCCUCUGUUUUUAUUUCCCUGGUUUCCCAAAUUCCAGGAGAAAUUCUCAACUUUGUUUUACCCUUUUAGGUGUAAACUUGAGGGAUUAAUGACAGAUUCCAGAGUCCUGGAUCAUCCUGAACAUUCCAGGGAUGAAUUCCGAGCUGGGGAGGAGGAGGAGGAGGAUGAUGGGAUGGGGAAGAUUCUCUCCUCUCACGAAAAAGAUCAAAGCCCUUUAAGAAAACAAGGCCACCAACUUCACAAAGUGCUCUGAACAUUCAGGGGGCUCCCCCUCGGGAUUGGGAAUUCCUCUGGGAUAUUCCCUGUGGUGGGAGAAAAUUUUGGAGAGGGAUUUGUGCCCUUCCAAAGGCUUUGGAAAAGGAUUUGUGCCCAUCCAGGGGCUUUGGGAAAAGAUUUGUGCCCUUCCAAGGGCUUUGGAAAAGGAUUUUUGCCCCUCCAAAAGCUUUGGAAAAUGAUUUUUGCCCCUCCAGGGGCUUUGGAGAGGGAUUUGUGCCCUUCCAAGGGCUUUGGAAAGGGAUUUGUGCCCUUCCAAGGGCUUUGGAAAGGAAUUUAAGCCCUUCCAAGGGGUUUGGAAAGGGAUUUGUGCCCUUCCAAGGGCUUUGGAGAGGGAUUUGUGCCCUUCCAAAAGCUUUGGAAAGGGAGUUGUGCCCUUCCAAGGGUUUGGAAAGGGAUUUGUGCCCUUCCAAGGGCUUUGGAAAAGGAUUUCCCUUCCAAGGGCUUUGGAAAAGGAUUUGUGCCCUUCCAAAGACCUUGCAAAAGGAUUUGUGCCCCUCCAAGGGUUUGGAAAGGAUUUGUUGUGCCCUCCCAAGGGCGUGAGCAGCGCUGGAUUUUUGGAAUCGAGCCCCUCGCCCACCCUGGGAGGGUUUUGGGGGGCUCAGGGCAGCCCUGGAGGAGCUGCUGGACAGGGAGGAUGGAAAAGGGGCCCAGGGAUCCCUCUGGAUCUUCCCUCCAACUCUGGGAUCCCUCUGGAUCAUCCCUCCAACCCCGGCAUUCCUUUGCCUUGGGCUGGAAUCCCAAAGGGAGCAGGGUUGGGAAUUGCCCACCCCAAUCAUGGAUUGCUUCUCAUUCCACAGGGAAACAAAAAUAAAACCAAACAAAAAAAAAACCUGGAUGUGGCCGAGUGCACAAGCUCUGGGUCCUAAAGGAAUGGAAAAAGUGGGAAAAGGGAAGGAUCCAAGGAAAAGGAAAGGAUGAGGUAUAAAACAAGCGGAGCUCCAGGCCCUGGGGGAGCACUGGGAUCUCCUGGAUUCUCCUGGAUUCCUGGAGUCCAUCCCGGUGUUCCUGAGGGAUGCUCCCACAGCGUGGAGGUUCCUCAGCCACCCAGACCAACACUUGGACACUUUUCUGUGUCUUUUUAACCCCAAAAUCUUCCUCAGGUGGAGCGGGAUCGUCCCACCCGGUCACGGAGCGACUCCCAAAAUUCCAACCCUGUUAUUUGGGAUGCUUUUUUUUUUUUUUUUUUUCCCCUAAAAAGUCUUUCCUGCAGCUUUUCAAUUCCUAGAAGUGAUUUUCACAUUUUUAACCAACCAGCCAAGGUUUGGGAGGCGGUUUCUCCAUGAAAAAGAAAUCCUGCCCUGCCCCUGGAAGUGUCCCAGGAUGGGGCUUGGAGCAGCCUCUGAGGGGCUGGAAUUUUAUGGAUUUUCAAGUCUUUCCCACCCAACCCAGCCUGGGAUCUGUGGAGCAGAGGGAAGACUUCCAGUUGGGAACAGCUUUGCUACAAAAACAUUGGAAAAUGCUGCCCUUGGCACAGCGGGAUGCAAACCCCACAUGGAAUUCUCCAGAUCCAUCUGCAGCCAUGAAAUCCCGAGGGAAAGCAGGGAGAGCUCUUCCCAUCCAUCAGGAAAAACACAUUUCUGUUGGAUUCAGCCCAGCUGUUGUUCCUUGAUCUGCACAAUUCCAUUAUUUUCCAAACCAAUCCCACACUUUCCAGAGGUUCCCACAUCCGGGCAUUUCCCAUCCAUCCAUAAAGAAACGUCUGAGUCAACUGGAAGAAGAAUUUUCCACCUGGUGCAGUUUGGGUUUGGUUUUUUUUAGGGAUUAUUUUGUGUGAGGAAAAAUCAUUCCUGCCCCGCUGGAGUCCAGGUGGGAAUUGUGGAAUCCAGGCUGGAUUUCCCAAGUUGUGGUGUCAGGCAGUGAACAGAAGAGAUUCCCUGUCAGCCAAGGGAAUCCUGAUCCCAUUCCUGAGGAAUUCCUGUUUCCUGGAGGAAAGGUUGGCAGAGCUGGGAAUGCUGGAGGGAAUUUUCCCCCCUCUCCGGUGCUCUGUGGCAGUAGGUUCAGGGAAUUGCUGCUGUAUUCCAUUUAAUUUUGGGAAAACUCCACCCAAACCUCCUCUCCCAGGUUUUCAUUGUGCCCUGAUGGUGAUGGAACAGCAGCUGCAUUCUGGCUGAUCCAAAUUUCUUGGAAAUUUU
Molecule: long non-coding RNA, 3393 nt
Organism: Taeniopygia guttata (zebra finch)
Lineage: Eukaryota; Metazoa; Chordata; Aves; Passeriformes; Estrildidae
Source: Ensembl